CACUUUCAAUAUAUUAUCAUUUGCUUGUCUAUAAAAGAUGGUCCCUCGACCAUAGUUGAUUUUGUUGGUUGGGUGGCAACCCGUUAAGGGUGUGGGUAGGGCUGCUCCUCUGCCCUUGGCGUUUUGCUAGGGUGUGAGGGGUGUUUUCUUCCUUGUAACUUAAGCCACUACUUUGGUGGUUUUUUUAAUACAAUCUCUUUACUUGUCAAAAAAAUAUAUUAUCAUUUGGUUGUCCAAAAAAUGCAACAUCAUGCUUGUGUUAACAUAAAAAAUAUAAAAUUUCAAUGUUUAGAUCAUUCAUAAAAGGCAUAAUAUAUAUAUACUAUUAUUAUGCCAAAAUUUCUAAGGAGGAGGUUUCACCACAAUAUGAAAGCUAAUAAAAGUCACUUUCAAUGGCCAAACUAUCAUUAUUCAAAUCCCUUUAAACUUGUAUCUAAUAGGCUCUCUUUCACUUGUAGAGACAUGAAACAAAAUGCAAUCAAAUUCUGAGCUUUGUAAAGUGGUAGAAAUUUCAGUUCUUAUGAGGGAAAAUGGACCUAGAAAUCUCAAUCUCAAGAAAGAAAGUGUAAACAAAUGUUAGAAGGUGUUCUUUUUGCCCUAUGAGAUGUUUAGAAAAGUUGAAUGAAACAUAUUUUGUUUCUUGAUCAAACAAUACAACUAAAAAAGCAACUGUUAUUAGUGUGAUUAUUAUUAUUUUUUUUUUUAAGUUUUAGGUCAUCUGUUCAGUUGAUCCAAAAUUGUUUAUCAUAUCUGUAUUGUCCAAUAAAGUUAAUUGCUGCAUGUAUUACAUGGUACAUGUACAAAUAGUAUUAUUUUGAUAACUGCAAUAAAAAUGUGAACAAAAAGGUUGAAUUUUCUUCUAAUAAUUUCCCUAUAUAUGUGGAGGAUGAGGAUGGAGACCUAGAUAACGCUUCAGAACUUAUUAUGAGAUGGUCCAACCUCAGGCCUUCAUGAUCAGAUGCCUUGCUCUGAUCAAAAAAAAAAAAAAUGAUCAGAUGCCUUGCACGGUGGAUUAUCACAAUAUAUGAUAGAGCUUCUAUUCCUGUCUAGGUUUUAUGUCACUCUGCUGAGUUCAAUGUGUUCCAUUAAAUCAUAUGAUAUAUCAUAUUUUGUAUACUCUGUGUGUACUCUAUUGUGCCAUUUUCCAACUGCUUUUAAUAUAUCCUCC
Molecule: long non-coding RNA, 1168 nt
Filed under: Vitis vinifera (wine grape)
Lineage: Eukaryota; Viridiplantae; Streptophyta; Magnoliopsida; Vitales; Vitaceae
Description: long non-coding RNA (VVIN_LNC002909)
Source: RNAcentral